AAGAUACUGUUGUUGUGCUAGCUUUCUUUAUUUACUAUGUAAGACCUCGCCACUAUAAAUUUGUCCUAUCAAUAGAUGUAUAUAUGUUUUGUCCGUCACAUCUCAGGAAUAACAGUACUGUAAAUUCUUGGGGUGUGACAAUAUACCUAUCUCUCUUGGAGACACAUCUCCAUCUUGGAGAUCUCUUCUGAUAACCCUCUGUCUUGAAGUCUAUAUACCUAUCUCUCUUGGAGACACAUCUCCAUCUUGGAGAUCUCUUCCGAUAACCCUAAAAAGGAGCCCCUUAAAAGGUUAUUAUUAUGAUGACCAUUUUUAUAGAGAUCAGUGAGUUUUUUUUUUGUUUCCACAAUACUUAUAAUCAUUAAAAGAAAAACCUAGAUUUGGUAAUUUUGACACCAAACCUACAAGUUUCACCUAGAUACAUAACGACCUUUAGGUAUAGAAAGGAAAACUUCAAUAGUGGGAAAUAUAAAGUAAAAUUUAUAGAUCAACAAUAGAACUAGGAAUAAUGUUAAAUCAAACAGAUGAGUACAAGGUUUGGCAUACGACGCGGUCAUUUGGUGGAUUUCAAACAUUUUGCUACCACAUCCCACACCAUUCAAGGUUAACAAUGGAUCGCACAAAAUCCAAUCCUACCAUUGAAGUACCCCAAAAAAUGUAAAAGUGGAGCCAGAAAACAUCGUCAAGGGUGAACUAACCAAUCGGUUCAAAUUUAACUCAAAGAAAAAGUUGAAUUUAAUGGAUUCUUUACCAAAGGUCGUUGCCAAACUAGUACAACAGUUGACGAGAUUGACUCCAAAAGACGCGCCUUUGGUGGACAAGAGUUAUGCUCUUGAGGGAGCCUAUUAUUCAUGCACUCCUAAGGAAAAACCUAUUUUAGGAAUAUGAAGGGAAAUAUUUCUAUGCUUCCCCUACGGCACAGAAGUUCUAUCCUCUCGCUACUAUACAGCCAUCCAAUUUUGUUCAAGAGAGUUACUCAUUGGUUGAUCUUAGAUCUGACGUUUCAAAGUAUUUUAUUUUUAGCUUUUUUUAUACAAAUUGUAUGAAUAUGAAAUUUGAUAAGUGCCAUCUUCUCAUUGGGGCACACCUAUAAAAAAUAUUAAAAAUAAUUUUUCGAUAAAAUAUACUGAUCAAAAUAGUCCUUUAAACUUUUAAGGGUAUUUUGGUUAUUUUAAUUUAUUGAAAAUUUUUGGUUUUAUAUUUUUCGCUAGUGCGAGUUUAAUAGAGGAAUGAACAUCCAAAUUUUGGUGUCAAAAUAAUUUAUAGAAAAAAUUAAAAAAAAAAUUGUGUAGAGACGUAACAUUGUGAUUGGGGCAAUCUUAGCCCUCCAUUCAGAAUGGACAGUUGGAUAAGGGGGAGGAUAUAACUUCUAUGCUCUAGAUGAAGCAUAGAAAGCUUGCCUAGUUUAAGGACUCCAAUUUUGGAGGACGUAAAUUCACCAUCCUAUAUCUUAUACUCAAUAAAAAGAAGGGAAAAUAUCUUCAUAGUUCCUAUUUUUAGGUUUAAUUCCUUGAUAUGCCCAUUCAAAGGGAAUAAAAGAAGAUAUUCUAGGGAACAAAAAAUAUCUUGUAACCCCUUAUCACUUUAAACCUAUUUUUUAACCUAAACAAAUGUAAGAAAUACAUUUUCACUUAUAUAUUCCAAACUUCUUUAUUUCUCUCUUUUCAUAUAUCUCUCACUUUCUCUCCUUCCAGUAACCUCUCACCUUCAUGAAGCUAUUUUUUCCUUCUAGAAGUUUGGGAUGAUGACUUUUAAAAAAGUCAUGUCUUUUUAAAUUUGUUUGACCUAAAAAAACAUGUUUAAAUUAACUCAGGGAUUAGAAGAAAUAGAAUUUAUAAAUUUUGUGCCUCAAGAUAUCGUUUAAAACUUUGAGUCUAUUGUGAAAUGAAACUUAAAAAUGAACAGCAUGGAGAUAUUUUCCUUAAAAGAAAUCUAAAAUGUGCUAUCUAUGGGCUUGAAAAAGAAUACCCCAAGAUUGAACCAUCCAAUUUUUUAGGGGUGAGAUCUAAAUUUGAGAAAACUCAGAAUUCAAUUUUUUCUUAUUUUGAAUAUAUUCAUCUGUCCUUUUUUUAAAAAAAAAAUUUAUCUUUUUUGUUGUUCCAAAAUUUCAUAUUAAAAAAAAAAUGAAAAAUUUAAUAUAACGUUGCAACCUUAAAGUGUAGAAUUAAAGAUCCAUCGGAAAAGAUUGUUUUAAUGCUGAAGCACACUCUAAUUGAUCAUCUCGAUAUCGGGAUAUAUGAAUAUGGAAAGAAAAAAGGAUUUUGAGUCCCAUAAAUAGUACAUCUCGCAACAUAUUAUCCAGACCGUCC
Molecule: long non-coding RNA, 2309 nt
Filed under: Amborella trichopoda
Lineage: Eukaryota; Viridiplantae; Streptophyta; Magnoliopsida; Amborellales; Amborellaceae
Description: long non-coding RNA (ATRI_LNC002081)
Source: RNAcentral